RNAcentral lists this small RNA (277 nucleotides) under marine eukaryotic metagenome. RNAcentral's name for it is "5' ureB small RNA". It matches the Rfam family "5' ureB small RNA". The record is from RNAcentral.
CGACCUGCUGCGGACAAAUAAAAUGAAUGUGCGCAUCAAUACCACCGGCCGUGAGAAUGUGUCCUUCACCAGCAAUAACUUCGGUACCAGGGCCAAUCACGAUGGUCACGGCAUCUUGAAUAUCUGGAUUACCCGCCUUGCCAAUACCACUAAUAUGCCCAUUCUUAAUUCCGACGUCGGCUUUAACAAUACCCCAAUGAUCAAGAAUUAAGGCAUUGGUAAUAACAGUGUCAGCAGAUUGGGCACAACUUACCUGACUUUGACCCAUGCCAUCGCG